CUAAUACAUGCAAGUCGAGCGAAUGGAUUAAGAGCUUGCUCUUAUGAAGUUAGCGGCGGACGGGUGAGUAACACGUGGGUAACCUGCCCAUAAGACUGGGAUAACUCCGGGAAACCGGGGCUAAUACCGGAUAACAUUUUGAACCGCAUGGUUCGAAAUUGAAAGGCGGCUUCGGCUGUCACUUAUGGAUGGACCCGCGUCGCAUUAGCUAGUUGGUGAGGUAACGGCUCACCAAGGCAACGAUGCGUAGCCGACCUGAGAGGGUGAUCGGCCACACUGGGACUGAGACACGGCCCAGACUCCUACGGGAGGCAGCAGUAGGGAAUCUUCCGCAAUGGACGAAAGUCUGACGGAGCAACGCCGCGUGAGUGAUGAAGGCUUUCGGGUCGUAAAACUCUGUUGUUAGGGAAGAACAAGUGCUAGUUGAAUAAGCUGGCACCUUGACGGUACCUAACCAGAAAGCCACGGCUAACUACGUGCCAGCAGCCGCGGUAAUACGUAGGUGGCAAGCGUUAUCCGGAAUUAUUGGGCGUAAAGCGCGCGCAGGUGGUUUCUUAAGUCUGAUGUGAAAGCCCACGGCUCAACCGUGGAGGGUCAUUGGAAACUGGGAGACUUGAGUGCAGAAGAGGAAAGUGGAAUUCCAUGUGUAGCGGUGAAAUGCGUAGAGAUAUGGAGGAACACCAGUGGCGAAGGCGACUUUCUGGUCUGUAACUGACACUGAGGCGCGAAAGCGUGGGGGAGCAAACAGGAUUAG
RNAcentral lists this ribosomal RNA (754 nucleotides) under Bacillus cereus. Its description in RNAcentral is "bacterial SSU rRNA". It matches the Rfam family "Bacterial small subunit ribosomal RNA", at positions 48 to 781 of the family's 1533-position model. The record is from RNAcentral. Lineage: Bacteria; Bacillati; Bacillota; Bacilli; Caryophanales; Bacillaceae.